UCGUCAGUGCGGUAUAUCCUGACCUGCCCCGCCCUGCGGGCAGCACGUGAUGAGCUGGCCGUGAUGACGCGUGAUUACAUCACGGGGGGCUGCGGGAACUGCAACACCCGCAGCUCCCGCGACUCUGAC
This 129-nucleotide small nucleolar RNA is filed under the name Accipiter nisus (Eurasian sparrowhawk). RNAcentral's name for it is "U8 small nucleolar RNA (ENSANIG00000013721.1)". It matches the Rfam family "U8 small nucleolar RNA". From Rfam's summary of the family: U8 is a member of the C/D class of snoRNA which contain the C (UGAUGA) and D (CUGA) box motifs. U8 is the RNA component of a small complex (the U8 snoRNP) which is required for accumulation of mature large subunit ribosomal RNAs, 5.8S and 28S rRNAs. The record is from Rfam by way of RNAcentral. Lineage: Eukaryota; Metazoa; Chordata; Aves; Accipitriformes; Accipitridae.